This 253-nucleotide ribosomal RNA is filed under the name uncultured bacterium. RNAcentral's name for it is "partial 16S ribosomal RNA". It matches the Rfam family "Bacterial small subunit ribosomal RNA", at positions 524 to 776 of the family's 1533-position model. The record is from RNAcentral.
UACGGGGGGGGCAAGCGUUGUUCGGAAUUACUGGGCGUAAAGGGCGCGUAGGCGGCCUGCUAAGUCGGAUGUGAAAUCCCUCGGCUCAACCGAGGAACUGCAUCCGAUACUGGCGGGCUUGAAUCCGGGAGAGGGAUGUGGAAUUCCAGGUGUAGCGGUGAAAUGCGUAGAUAUCUGGAGGAACACCGGUGGCGAAGGCGGCAUCCUGGACCGGUACUGACGCUGAGGUGCGAAAGCGUGGGGAGCAAACAGG